GACGAACGCUGGCGGCGUGCUUAACACAUGCAAGUCGAACGGUUAAGCGCCUUCCUUUUUGGUGGGUGCGGAAGAGUGGCGAACGGGUGAGUAACACGUGAGUAACCUGCCACCUUCUUCUGGAUAACCGCAUGAAAGUGUGGCUAAUACCGGAUAUUCUGGGUCUAUCGCUUGCUGGGUCUGGGAGAGAUAUUGUUUCGGUGGGGGCAGGGCUCGCGGCCUAUGAGCUUGUUGGUGGGGUGAUGGCCUACCAAGGCAGCGACGGCUAGCCGGCCUGGGAGAGUGGACGGUCUGAGUGGGAGAGAGGCACCGGACAGACUCGUGAGGGAGCCAGAAGGGGGGAAUAGUGAACGAUGGGAGCAAGCCUGAGGCAGCGAGGCCGCGUGAAGGAGGGUGUCGGUUUGGAUGUGAACCUCUUUCGAGAGUGAAGCAGGCGUGCCUCGUUUGUGCGUGGGUUGACGGUAGCUAGACAAGAAGCGCCGGCUAACUACGUG
Molecule: ribosomal RNA, 494 nt
Filed under: uncultured bacterium
Lineage: Bacteria
Description: partial 16S ribosomal RNA
Rfam family: Bacterial small subunit ribosomal RNA
Source: RNAcentral